UUCGAGUGGGGGACGGGUGAGUAACGCGUGGGUAACCUGCCUUACACAGGGGGAUAACACCUGGAAACAGGUGCUAAUACCGCAUAAGCGCACAGGGCCGCAUGGCCCGGUGUGAAAAACUCCGGUGGUGUAAGAUGGACCCGCGUCUGAUUAGCUUGUUGGCGGGGUAGAGGCCCACCAAGGCGACGAUCAGUAGCCGGCCUGAGAGGGUGGACGGCCACAUUGGGACUGAGACACGGCCCAAACUCCUACGGGAGGCAGCAG
RNAcentral lists this ribosomal RNA (264 nucleotides) under uncultured bacterium. RNAcentral's name for it is "partial 16S ribosomal RNA". It matches the Rfam family "Bacterial small subunit ribosomal RNA", at positions 90 to 354 of the family's 1533-position model. The record is from RNAcentral.